AAUAUCCGAUAGCGUGCGGUGGCAAAGCCAAGGAGCAUUUCAAAUCUCUUACAUAGUCCGGUGCUCACCAGCUGGUAAGCAUACAAUAAACUGCAGUGAUGCAAGGCUGCCCCCCCCCCUUCCCCACACAACCUGUUUCACAAGUCAAGUAAACAAAAAAAGAAACCAUGCUCAUUACCACAUUCAGAAAAAAAUUAUAUUGCACAAAAACUUGUAAUAAUAAAAUUUUUGCUAUUCAAUAUUUGUACGCCUGCUAAGUUGAACUUCUUUGUCAGCCAAUAAUAAUUACAGGAACAAGAUGUUGCAUCGCUCUCUUCCUUGAUAUUUACAGUUUCAUCUUCAAAAGGGCAUCUGCCUGACGCCUAUUCAGGCAAAAAGAAUUCUGUCUCACAAGAAGGCAAGGCUGGUGGUGAAGGAAACGGCACAAGCCAUAUGGUCCCAGAAAGGGCUAGCGUCACGCAGUGUUAAAGGUGGCGUAGCUCCAGGAAGAAGAACCUCGGCGAGGUUGCAAAGCCUGCGCUGACACCUGAAAAGGUCGCGGUUCUGGAAGAAACACUCAACCAUUGGUCGCAUGUGACAGGCGCCGACUCGUCCAUUGCAGCCCGAAACUUGACCAGCAUACUAACUGAAAAAAUUCAGGAUUGCAUCAAGGCAGAGCGACGAAAACCUCCACAGUAAAUGUACUGCGAAAUGCAUUCAAUCCAUAGAUAACCCAACGAAGACCAAAGACUAGGGCUGUGCAAUGUUUUUUCUGCAUUAAUAAAUAGAAUCGUCUCAUAUACACUCAACAUAA
Molecule: long non-coding RNA, 793 nt
Organism: Rhipicephalus microplus (southern cattle tick)
Lineage: Eukaryota; Metazoa; Arthropoda; Arachnida; Ixodida; Ixodidae
Source: RefSeq, a predicted model, not a curated record